UUUAAAGUCUAUUUACUCAUAAACCUAGAAUACGUGAAUUCGGGGAUUUCUCUCGAUAAUUUCAGUCCCUAGUGUCGCUAGUAAUUAUAAAGCGAAGUCUUAUCAGACUAAUUGAUUGAACUUUAAUUUUCGGAUAAUCCCAUUCUCAGGAAUACGCUUCCUAUAUUUUGGAAUUUGCUAAAUUUCAGGCGGACUAUCAAUCAUUUAGAUUGCCUCCGAACUCAAC
This is a non-coding RNA of Prochlorococcus marinus str. MIT 9515, 226 nucleotides long. Lineage: Bacteria; Bacillati; Cyanobacteriota; Cyanophyceae; Synechococcales; Prochlorococcaceae. The record is from Rfam.